GCAAUUGGAAUGAGAAAUAUUUAAAUCCCUUAUCGAGGAUCAACUGAAGGGCAAGUCUGGUGCCAGCAGCCGCGGUAAUUCCAGCUCCAAUAGCGUAUAUUAAAGUUGUUGCAGUUAAAAAGCUCGUAGUUGGACUUCUGGCUGGGCGCCGAUGUGACACAAAGUGCUCACAAGGCACCGGCCAUCCUUCUGUAAACUGCGUUAGUACUUCAUUGGACUGCGUAGGGAUCAGAUAAUUUACCUUGAGAAAAUUAGAGUGUUUCAGGCAGGCUUAGCCGGAAUACAUUAGCAUGGAAUAAUGGAAUAGGACUAUGGUCUCGUUGUUGGUUUGAGGGACUGCAGUAAUGAUUAAUAGGGAUAGUUGGGGGCAUUAGUAUUUAAUUGUCAGAGGUGAAAUUCUCAGAUUUGUUAAAGACUAACUUAUGCGAAAGCAUUUGCCAAGGAUGUUUUCAUUAAUCAAGAACGAAAGUUAGGGGAUCAAAGACGAUCAGAUACCGUCCUAGUCUUAACCAUAAACUAUGCCGACUCGGGAUCGGGGGCGCGAACUAUCCGCCUUCGGC
This 560-nucleotide ribosomal RNA is filed under the name uncultured ciliate. Its description in RNAcentral is "bacterial SSU rRNA". It matches the Rfam family "Eukaryotic small subunit ribosomal RNA", at positions 505 to 1084 of the family's 1831-position model. The record is from RNAcentral. Lineage: Eukaryota; Ciliophora.